ACGGAAGGCAGCAGUGGGGGAUAUUGCACAAUGGGGGAAACCCUGAUGCAGCGACGCCGCGUGAGUGAAGAAGUAUUUCGGUAUGUAAAGCUCUAUCAGCAGGAAAGAUAAUGACGGUACCUGACUAAGAAGCACCGGCUAAAUACGUGCCAGCAGCCGCGGUAAUACGUAUGGUGCAAGCGUUAUCCGGAUUUACUGGGUGUAAAGGGAGCGUAGACGGCAUGGCAAGCCAGAUGUGAAAGGCAGGGGCUCAACUCCUGGACUGCAUUUGGAACUGUCAAGCUAGAGUAUCGGAGAGGUAAGUGGAAUUCCUAGUGUAGCGGUGAAAUGCGUAGAUAUUAGGAGGAACACCAGUGGCGAAGGCGGCUUACUGGACUGUAACUGACGUUGAGGCUCGAAAGCGUGGGGAGCAAACAGGAUUAGAUACCCUGGUA
Molecule: ribosomal RNA, 434 nt
Filed under: uncultured Lachnospiraceae bacterium
Lineage: Bacteria; Bacillati; Bacillota; Clostridia; Lachnospirales; Lachnospiraceae
Description: partial 16S ribosomal RNA
Rfam family: Bacterial small subunit ribosomal RNA
Source: RNAcentral